This 521-nucleotide ribosomal RNA is filed under the name Argyra grata. RNAcentral's name for it is "partial 16S ribosomal RNA". It matches the Rfam family "Bacterial large subunit ribosomal RNA", at positions 1819 to 2597 of the family's 2925-position model. The record is from RNAcentral. Lineage: Eukaryota; Metazoa; Arthropoda; Insecta; Diptera; Dolichopodidae.
GUCUUUUUGAAUUAAAUUUAAAGUCUAAUCUGCCCACUGAUAUUAUAAAUUAAAUGGCCGCAGUAUUUUAACUGUGCAAAGGUAGCAUAAUCAUUAGUCUUUUAAUUGGGGGCUGGAAUGAAUGAUUGGACGAGAUAUAAGCUGUCUCAUUGUAAAUUGUAUAUAGAAUUUUAUUUUUUAGUUAAAAAGCUAAAAUUUUUUUAAAAGACGAGAAGACCCUUUAGAUCUUUAUACUGGUUAUAUAAUUUAUUUUUUAGAUAAUUUAGAUAAUUAUAUUUAUAAGUAUUUUGUUGGGGUGAUAUUGAAAUUUAAUUAACUUUCAAAUAGUGUUGGACAUUUAUUAGUGAUUUUUAUGCUGAUCCUGUGUUAUGGAUAGAAAAAUUAAGUUACCUUAGGGAUAACAGCGUAAUUAUUUCGGAGAGUUCUUAUUGAUGAAAUAGAUUGCGACCUCGAUGUUGGAUUAAGAUUAAUAAUAGGGGUAGUUUCUUGUUAUAUUAAGUCUGUUCGACUUUUAAAUUCUU